AUGAACGCUGGCGGCGCGCCUAAUACAUGCAAGUCGAGCGAACAGACGAGGAGCUUACUCCUCUGACGUUAGCGGCGGACGGGUGAGUAACACGUGGAUAACCUACCUAUAAGACUGGGAUAACUUCGGGAAACCGGAGCUAAUACCGGAUAAUAUUUUGAACCGCAUGGUUCAAAAGUGAAAGACGGUCUUGCUGUCACUUAUAGAUGGAUCCGCGCUGCAUUAGCUAGUUGGUAAGGUAACGGCUUACCAAGGCAACGAUGCAUAGCCGACCUGAGAGGGUGAUCGGCCACACUGGAACUGAGACACGGUCCAGACUCCUACGGGAGGCAGCAGUAGGGAAUCUUCCGCAAUGGGCGAAAGCCUGACGGAGCAACGCCGCGUGAGUGAUGAAGGUCUUCGGAUCGUAAAACUCUGUUAUUAGGGAAGAACAUAUGUGUAAGUAACUGUGCACAUCUUGACGGUACCUAAUCAGAAAGCCACGGCUAACUACGUGCCAGCAGCCGCGGUAAUACGUAGGUGGCAAGCGUUAUCCGGAAUUAUUGGGCGUAAAGCGCGCGUAGGCGGUUUUUUAAGUCUGAUGUGAAAGCCCACGGCUCAACCGUGGAGGGUCAUUGGAAACUGGAAAACUUGAGUGCAGAAGAGGAAAGUGGAAUUCCAUGUGUAGCGGUGAAAUGCGCAGAGAUAUGGAGGAACACCAGUGGCGAAGGCGACUUUCUGGUCUGUAA
Molecule: ribosomal RNA, 728 nt
Filed under: uncultured Staphylococcus sp.
Lineage: Bacteria; Bacillati; Bacillota; Bacilli; Caryophanales; Staphylococcaceae
Description: bacterial SSU rRNA
Rfam family: Bacterial small subunit ribosomal RNA
Source: RNAcentral